Molecule: small nuclear RNA, 157 nt
Filed under: Sorex araneus (European shrew)
Lineage: Eukaryota; Metazoa; Chordata; Mammalia; Eulipotyphla; Soricidae
Description: U1 spliceosomal RNA (ENSSARG00000014864.1)
Rfam family: U1 spliceosomal RNA
About the family: U1 is a small nuclear RNA (snRNA) component of the spliceosome (involved in pre-mRNA splicing). Its 5' end forms complementary base pairs with the 5' splice junction, thus defining the 5' donor site of an intron.
Source: RNAcentral
CUAUUUACCUGGCAGGUGAGGAAACUGAAAUCAGGAAGGUGGUUUUCCCAAGACAAGGUUUAGCCAUUGCACUCAGGGCGUGCUAACCCCUAGGGCUUCCACAUAUAGGAAACUUUUCUGCAUAAUUUGUGAUAGUGAGAGACUGUUAGUACUCCCC